UUUAACGUGUCGUCGUGUAGUGAACUGCACUCUUCUAUUUUCACCAGACACUCGUCACGUUUAUAAAACGUUUCUACGUUCCUCAAGUUUUCGGCUCGUUCGUGAAUUAACAAAUCACAAUUCAUCCUUUUUUUUUUUUUUAAAGUCUUAAAAGCUCUUAAAAUAUCUGUACAUUUUAGGAAGGCAGCAAUUAGCUCAAUUAGCACAAUAAAUCGUACUAAAAACAGCAAUUUGUAGGUCUGUUAAUUCUCAACGCUACAUGAAAAAUAUGAUAGAUCCAAACAAACUUUGUUUGUCACUUCUGACAAACAAAACGCACCGUUAAUAUUUGGAAUCAUUAACGUUAGCAUGUUAACACUCUUGUUAGCAACUAAAAGAUGUUGCGCGUGUAGUUGUGCGAGAAGUUCUUCCAAAUCUGCUUCAACAAUUGCGCAUUAAACAAGAUAAUUAGCAGUAGAAAUUAUGUUUGUACAAGUAUUU
Sander lucioperca (pikeperch) is the source of this 480-nucleotide long non-coding RNA. RefSeq lists it as uncharacterized. The record is from RefSeq and is a predicted model, not a curated record. Lineage: Eukaryota; Metazoa; Chordata; Actinopteri; Perciformes; Percidae. The transcript is spliced from 2 exons.